UAUCCAUGUCAGUGUUUGCACAGAUGAGUAUCACCAGAGUUACUCCAGGACACAAGGAGACAGCAGCCCACUGGGACAGCACAUAGCCCAGAGGGCUCCCUGAGGGACAUGGGAGGGAUGCUGUGGACUGGGGUCAGACCUUCCCCAUGUACAGCCCCUAGAUAUGUCCUGAGGUGGGAAGGAGAGGAGAAUCCUCAGAGGUGGAGCAGGUGUGUGAUGGUGGACACAGGCCUUGAGAAGACGCUGGGCACCCUGGGGCAGGAAGAAGUGGCCAGGAGCAGAUGAAGAACACUGCUGGAUUUACUGCUGCUGCCUGCCAUUCCUGUCCUGGACCUGUGCCCCUUGACACCUGAAGCCAUCAGCCUAUCAUUUCCUGCCAUCCUGCACCUGUGGCCCUGAGCACCUGGAGCCAUUAGCCAGUCCCUCCUUCCUAUUCCCUUCCUGCACCUGUGGCCUUCCACACCUGCAGCUGAGCAGCUGAUUGGUUAGCAGAGCACUUUCUUUUCCACUCUCUGGCCGAUAACGCCCUUCCUGUUCUCCAAUGCUAGAGUCUGAGAUAUUGAUUUUAAUGUGAGAUGAACCUCCAAGGAAAUCUGGAGAAAAGUGAUCUCUAAGCCUUAAUCAGCACAUGAAUGGGAGUGAAGCUCUGUUGCAGGAGAAAGUACCAUUGAUGGUUGGUCCUGUCUAGGGGCUAAGGAACUAUCCUUGAGGCUACAGAUCCCUUCAGGGCUCUUGCUCACCACACGUCCCUGCAAUUCUGAGGAGGUGCCAACACGUGGAAUAGUGUGCCAAUCAUCUGGCCAGAACUCUGGGUGGAUUCAGGAUCCCCAAACAUGUCCAGGUCCUGACCCCUGGCUUCUGAGAACAGGACUUCAUCUGGAAACGCCUUUGCAGAAUUAAUGAAGGCAGGAACCUCAACAAGAGAUGAUGCAUUGAGGCCUCAGAUAAAUAAAGGAAAUGGAAAUAGUGUGGAUCUGCAGUAUCUUCUGCAAGAACCUGGGCUGUCUGUGUUUCAGCUAACACCAAGAGAAUGUCUAUUCCCUGGACUGGAGUAAAGGGUGCUGAGGAUGAGGACUCUCACUUGCUGCCUGGAUCUCUGUUUUCAAUUACUGUACCUACCAUGGAUGUGCUGAUGUCCUGUCUCAAUAAAAGUAAGAGUCAUGAAGUAAAAAGGCAAAACCCAUGUAAAAUAAGAAUGA
Molecule: non-coding RNA, 1199 nt
Organism: Ictidomys tridecemlineatus (thirteen-lined ground squirrel)
Lineage: Eukaryota; Metazoa; Chordata; Mammalia; Rodentia; Sciuridae
Source: RefSeq, a predicted model, not a curated record